UUUUACCGGAAGGCUAGCCAACUAUCUAGUAAACAAUUCGGGACAAAGCUAGCCCGUUCCCCUCCACCCUCCCGGAGUCCCCAGGUCAAAAGCCUCCCGGUACCGCUUUACUGCAGGUUCUGGUCGACUGCAGGAAAACACCGGGGCAGAGUGGAGCUGAGAGAGGAGGAGGAGAAGAGAAGGAAGAUGGAGAUUUGAUUUCAUUAAGUAAGAACCAUGGAGACGGCACUAACAGUUGCUCUCUCAGUGGGAGGGGCUUAUCAUCUGGGGAGCCUCAACAACAUCAUGAUGCUGACAAGACAGAGAAGAGUCUCUCCAGAUCAGAAC
Coregonus clupeaformis (lake whitefish) is the source of this 327-nucleotide long non-coding RNA. RefSeq lists it as uncharacterized. Lineage: Eukaryota; Metazoa; Chordata; Actinopteri; Salmoniformes; Salmonidae. The transcript is spliced from 3 exons. The record is from RefSeq and is a predicted model, not a curated record.